Actinia tenebrosa (Australian red waratah sea anemone) is the source of this 219-nucleotide long non-coding RNA. The record is from RefSeq and is a predicted model, not a curated record. Lineage: Eukaryota; Metazoa; Cnidaria; Anthozoa; Actiniaria; Actiniidae.
GUGGCAAUAGAAGGUAUAAGAGGAUCAUCUUAUCAGGGAGACAUUGCUAUUGACGAUAUAUCUGUCACCAAAGGACGAUGUGCCAGCACAGCUCCCCCGACCCCUCCAAAACCAUCAACCCCACCACUACCUACACAAUCACCAGGUCAAUGUGGAGUAUCAUCAGUUACUAGGAUAAUUGCUGGGGUCGAUGCUAGACCAGGAUCAUGGCCAUGGCAG